This 29-nucleotide non-coding RNA is filed under the name Mus musculus (house mouse). Lineage: Eukaryota; Metazoa; Chordata; Mammalia; Rodentia; Muridae. The record is from RNAcentral.
UAGCUGAGUAGUACUCCAUUGUGUAAAUG